AAGGGUCUAUAUCAGGCAAAUUCAGGCUAACAUAGAUAUUGAAUUGAGCAUUGAUGAACACCCAGCAGUGACUGAAGUUUACUUGAAAUGUACCAAAAGAAUUCCAAUGAAUGAGCUAAGGAAGCAUGUGGCUGGUUGUAAAGGACUUCAGGUUGUUGAUAAUGAUGUUGAUGAUUUUAGUGAUGUAGAUUCCUCACCAAGUUAUUCACCGUUGUGCUCCGAGCACAAUUCGCCUUCACAAAUUGAUACUGAAGCUUGUGGCAAUGAUGUUGCAGUAACAGAAGAGGUUAUGGUUGACUAUGCAGUAAAGAUAAGUGCUUCUGGUAGUGAAGUUCAGUGCCACAAUGUGUAAGUAUUUUAUGAUUUUAUACUGAGUUGCACCUAUUAAUGAUACUCAAAGUAAAGUGUUUGAAAGCGUUACUGAAAUAGCUGAACACUUACAAGGACUCACUUCUACUGAUGAACAUGAGAUAUAUUUCUCGCUGUUAGAGGAGAAGUGAUGUGCUCUCAUCAGUUCUCUGCGGGAUAGAUAAAAGGGCAUUUUCCCCCAAUAAACUAUUGGAAAUUAGCUUUUUAGGAGAGGAGGCACAGGAUGGUGGUGGCCCAAGGAGGGAAUUUUUUAGACUACUUGCUACCACCAUUAAGGAUACAAUGUGUGUGUGGCGAAAUGGAUCGUAUGUAUUUAGACAUAAUAUGUAUGGAAUUCAGACUAAUAAAUUUUUGAAGAUUGGAAUGCUUUUAGUGAUGUCGGUAGCUCAGGGUAGUGGGGGUAUCCUUUUUUUGCCAAGUGUGUUUUUGAUUAUCUUUGUGGUGACGAUAUUUCCAAGUUAGAGGUGGAUAUUGGUACUGUUGGAGAUGAGGAGGCAUACAUGUUAUUACAAAAAAUUGAAAUGGAACAAGAUAGUAAAUCAUUGCAACAGGUAUUAAUGGAGUCAUUUGAUAUAAUUGCUAAUGCUGGAUAUACCAAGCCGAUCCCCUCUGUGUCCACACAAGACAAGAAAGAUAUUCAAAGGGCAAUUGCUCUACAAUACAUUAUACUACAGUGUAUAACUGAACUAGAACAGUUUAAACGUGGAUUGUCUUCCAUACAUUUUCUAGAUAUUGUCAGAGCUAAUCGAGAGGUAGCUGCUCCAUUUUUUAUCAAAAGAAACGAGAAGCUUACUGCAGACAAAUUCAAGACUUGCUUAAAAAUAUCAUAUUCACAACUGAUCUAGGGACAAAUAUGAGAAGUAGGGAAGAGGAAGUUUAUAUGUAUUUUGUCAGGCUUCUCAAUGAGUGUGAAGAAAGCACUGAUCCUGACCACUUGACACUUGCAGACAUUUUGAUAUUUUUUAGUGGGGUUGACUCGAUACCACCAUUAGGUUUUUCUUCUUCACCAACGCUGACGUUUCACAAUAAAGACUUCCCUUCUUCUUCCACUUGUGCACUCACAUUGACAUUACCCAUUCAUAGUGAUUACAUGUCCUUCAAAGCAAAGGUCACAUUUGGAAUGAAGCAUCAUGGGGGGUUUGAAAAACCCUGACUUAAGGUUGUUCAUCUCUUCCAAUUUGGUUAAUAUUCAUAUUAUUCAUCAUUUAAUAAGAACUUGAUCACUUGUGUUUAUAUCAUUUUUCUUGUGGUUUUCUGUCUCCAUGUUAUGGAGUUUCAUUUUUGCAAGGCAAUCUGAUUCAUCCUAUUCAAUCAUUUACUCGAUAUAAUUAUA
Long non-coding RNA from Amphimedon queenslandica, 1702 nucleotides. RefSeq lists it as uncharacterized. The transcript has 9 exons. The record is from RefSeq and is a predicted model, not a curated record. NCBI's taxonomy places the organism in Eukaryota, Metazoa, Porifera, Demospongiae, Haplosclerida, Niphatidae.